RNAcentral lists this long non-coding RNA (1443 nucleotides) under Homo sapiens (human). RNAcentral describes it as "HSALNT0319901". Lineage: Eukaryota; Metazoa; Chordata; Mammalia; Primates; Hominidae. The record is from RNAcentral.
UGGAGGAAGCAACCCUGCACAGAGGGAAAGAAGAAUCUCAACAUACAGUCCUCAGCAGCUUUAGCAUGGGCAACAAAUUAAGUCUCUGUAAAAGGCCCAAAGGACAGGGUUUGGUGAGAUUCUGGAGAGCUGGAAACAUGGAGGUUGACAGGAAUGUAAAGAAGAACUCAUUUACAUGCCAGGAGGGUGGAACACCCCAAUUCCAUGAGGAUAACUGCUCCUGUACUCCAGACCUCACCCCAUGUGUCUCUUCAUCUGGCUGGUUAUUUGUCCUUUAAGAUCUCCUUACUCAACCAGUAAAUGUGUCUUUACAUUGUUUUAGUCUUGAACUAGAAGAUGAAAGCAUCAAAUAAAGAAAUAUACUGUGGGUAUAUGGAUUACAAAAAAAGCCCAAAUCUGCUCUUCUGACUCUGCAUCAGUGCAUGUCAAUACCAUCCAAGUUAUGACUCAAGAUGGAAACAAGAAAGUCAUCCUUCACAUUUGCCUGCCCCUUAAUUUUCACUGAGUCUCUUAAAGAUUAUUCCUGAAAUAUCUCUCAAAUUUGUCUUUUCUGAUUACAACCUUACUGACGCUGCAGUAAGUUAGAAACUCAACAUCUGUAGUCUAAACCGUUAAAAUAGCUGCUUGACUUUUCCGGUCUCUGUGUAGCUCUAUUCUCUCCAUUUUCAUUAAGUUUCUUUGCAAAACACAGACAUGAUACUGCCAAAGUUUCGAACAAAUACCUUUAGUGGCACUGAGUUAUCUACUGUUAAAUCGCCAGACACCUCAAGAGAGCAUUCAAGGUUCAUGAUCUUGAACCAAUUUACUUUUGGGCAUUCUCCAAAAGAAUUCCCUUGGUAGUAAAUAGUAUCCAUUGCUGAGGCUCUUGGCAACAUUUGGUGGGACAAAGGAUGGGCAAUGGGCAACAGGAAGGGCAUUCUAAACCUUCUCUCCCGACCCCCCCUCCACUUUUUUAGGGAUGGUAGAUUUAGAGUUGGGAUAGAGAAAGAAAAGAGAGAAAACUAGCCAUUGAAAUUUGAUCUCUCUCUGUGCCUUGUAAAGGAAGCCUGGUCCCCAGGCAAAAAGGGGUUUAUUUCAAGAAGGAGCAGUUACCAUCUUAGUUUCAAAUUAAACUAUAAACUAAAUUUCUCCUAAAGUGAGUUCAGCCUGUGCCCAGGAAUAAACAAGGAUAGUCUGGAGGUUAGAGGCAAGAUGGGGUGGGUUAGAUCAGAUCUCUUUCACUCCCAUAAUUUUGUCACUGUUAUAGUUUUUGCAAAGGUGUUUUCACAAAGCCUGCGAGGUGGUUGAGAAACAGAAAGAAGGCCAAUGGGCAUCUGAACUGCAUAGAAUAGUCAGUUUUAUUGCUUAAAAUGUAUUUGCAAGAGUAAGUCUGACUAUAGUAAUAUAAAUGACUUUGCUUUUUUAGUUUUUCAAUACUUAAUAAUAAAAUAUAUCUUAAUUUUA